GACGAACGCUGGCGGCGUGCUUAACACAUGCAAGUCGAACGGAAAGGCCCUGCUUUUGUGGGGUGCUCGAGUGGCGAACGGGUGAGUAACACGUGAGUAACCUGCCCUUGACUUUGGGAUAACUUCAGGAAACUGGGGCUAAUACCGGAUAGGAGCUCCUGCUGCAUGGUGGGGGUUGGAAAGUUUCGGCGGUUGGGGAUGGACUCGCGGCUUAUCAGCUUGUUGGUGGGGUAGUGGCUUACCAAGGCUUUGACGGGUAGCCGGCCUGAGAGGGUGACCGGCCACAUUGGGACUGAGAUACGGCCCAGACUCCUACGGGAGGCAGCAGUGGGGAAUAUUGCACAAUGGGCGGAAGCCUGAUGCAGCAACGCCGCGUGCGGGAUGACGGCCUUCGGGUUGUAAACCGCUUUCGCCUGUGACGAAGCGUGAGUGACGGUAAUGGGUAAAGAAGCACCGGCUAACUACGUGCCAGCAGCCGCGGUGAUACGUAGGGUGCGAGCGUUGUCCGGAUUUAUUGGGCGUAAAGGGCUCGUAGGUGGUUGAUCGCGUCGGAAGUGUAAUCUUGGGGCUUAACCCUGAGCGUGCUUUCGAUACGGGUUGACUUGAGGAAGGUAGGGGAGAAUGGAAUUCCUGGUGGAGCGGUGGAAUGCGCAGAUAUCAGGAGGAACACCAGUGGCGAAGGCGGUUCUCUGGGCCUUUCCUGACGCUGAGGAGCGAAGGCGUGGGGAGCGAACAGGCUUAGAUACCCUGGUAGUCCACGCUGUAAACGGUGGGUACUAGGUGUGGGGUCCAUUCCACGGGUUCCGUGCCGUAGCUAACGCUUUAAGUACCCCGCCUGGGGAGUACGGCCGCAAGGCUAAAACUCAAAGGAAUUGACGGGGCCCCGCACAAGCGGCGGAGCAUGCGGAUUAAUUCGAUGCAACGCGUAGAACCUUACCUGGGUUUGACAUGGAUCGGGAGUGCUCAGAGAUGGGUGUGCCUCUUUUGGGGUCGGUUCACAGGUGGUGCAUGCCUGUCGUCAGCUCGUGUCGUGAGAUGUUGGGUUAGUUCCCGCAACGAGCGCAACCCUUGUUCACUGUUGCCAGCACGUUAUGGUGGGGACUCAGUGGAGACCGCCGGGGUCAACUCGGAGGAAGGUGGGGAUGACGUCAAGUCCUCAUGCCCCUUAUGUCCAGGGCUUCACGCAUGCUACAAUGGCUGGUACAGAGAGUGGCGAGCCUGUGAGGGUGAGCGAAUCUCGGAAAGCCGGUCUCAGUUCGGAUUGGGGUCUGCAACUCGACCUCAUGAAGUCGGAGUCGCUAGUAAUCGCAGAUCAGCAACGCUGCGGUGAAAAAGUUCCCGGGGCU
Molecule: ribosomal RNA, 1346 nt
Filed under: uncultured bacterium
Lineage: Bacteria
Description: bacterial SSU rRNA
Rfam family: Bacterial small subunit ribosomal RNA
Source: RNAcentral